Molecule: signal recognition particle RNA, 97 nt
Filed under: Salmonella enterica
Lineage: Bacteria; Pseudomonadati; Pseudomonadota; Gammaproteobacteria; Enterobacterales; Enterobacteriaceae
Description: signal recognition particle sRNA small type
Rfam family: Bacterial small signal recognition particle RNA
About the family: The signal recognition particle (SRP) is a universally conserved ribonucleoprotein involved in the co-translational targeting of proteins to membranes. Archaeal SRP consists of a 7S RNA and homologues of the eukaryotic SRP19 and SRP54 proteins.
Source: RNAcentral
UGUUGGUUCUCCCGCAACGCUACUCUGUUUACCAGGUCAGGUCCGGAAGGAAGCAGCCAAGGCAGAUGACGCGUGUGCCGGGAUGUAGCUUAGCUGG